CCUACGGGAGGCAGCAGUGGGGAAUAUUGCACAAUGGGGGAAACCCUGAUGCAGCGACGCCGCGUGAGUGAAGAAGGCAUUCGUUAUGUAAAGCUCUAUCAGCAGGGAAGAAACAGACGGUACCUGAGCAAGAAGCCACGGCUAACUACGUGCCCGCAGCCGCGGUAAUACGUAGGGGGCAAGCGUUAUCCGGAUUUACUGGGUGUAAAGGGAGCGUAGAUGGCGUAGAAAGUCUGAAGAGAAAGCCCGCGGCUUAACCGCGGAACUGCUUUGGAAACUUUUGUGCUGGAGUACCGGAGAGGUAAGCGGAAUUCCUAGUGUAGCGGUGAAAUGCUUAGAUAUUAGGAGGAACUCCAGUGGCGAAGGCGGCUUACUGGACUGUAACUGACGUUGCGGCUCGACAGCGUGGGUAGCAAACAGGAUUAGAUACCCCUGUAGUC
Molecule: ribosomal RNA, 440 nt
Filed under: uncultured bacterium
Lineage: Bacteria
Description: partial 16S ribosomal RNA
Rfam family: Bacterial small subunit ribosomal RNA
Source: RNAcentral